RNAcentral lists this ribosomal RNA (465 nucleotides) under Vreelandella stevensii. Its description in RNAcentral is "partial 16S ribosomal RNA". It matches the Rfam family "Bacterial small subunit ribosomal RNA", at positions 338 to 795 of the family's 1533-position model. Lineage: Bacteria; Pseudomonadati; Pseudomonadota; Gammaproteobacteria; Oceanospirillales; Halomonadaceae. The record is from RNAcentral.
CCUACGGGCGGCAGCAGUGGGGAAUAUUGGACAAUGGGGGGAACCCUGAUCCAGCCAUGCCGCGUGUGUGAAGAAGGCCCUCGGGUUGUAAAGCACUUUCAGUGAGGAAGAACGCCUGGUGGUUAAUACCCAUCAGGAAAGACAUCACUCACAGAAGAAGCACCGGCUAACUCCGUGCCAGCAGCCGCGGUAAUACGGAGGGUGCGAGCGUUAAUCGGAAUUACUGGGCGUAAAGCGCGCGUAGGUGGCUUGAUAAGCCGGUUGUGAAAGCCCCGGGCUCAACCUAGGAACGGCAUCCGGAACUGUCAAGCUAGAGUGCAGGAGAGGAAGGUAGAAUUCCCGGUGUAGCGGUGAAAUGCGUAGAGAUCGGGAGGAAUACCAGUGGCGAAGGCGGCCUUCUGGACUGACACUGACACUGAGGUGCGAAAGCGUGGGUAGCAAACAGGAUUAGAUACCCCUGUAGUC